AAUCCAUAGGUUAAUGAGGCGAACCGGGGGAACUGAAACAUCUAAGUACCCCGAGGAAAAGAAAUCAACCGAGAUUCCCCCAGUAGCGGCGAGCGAACGGGGAGGAGCCCAGAGCCUGAAUCAGCAUGUGUGUUAGUGGAAGCGUCUGGAAAGGCGCGCGAUACAGGGUGACAGCCCCGUACACAAAAGCGCAUGUGCUGUGAGCUCGAUGAGUAGGGCGGGACACGUGGUAUCCUGUCUGAAUAUGGGGGGACCAUCCUCCAAGGCUAAAUACUCCUGACUGACCGAUAGUGAACCAGUACCGUGAGGGAAAGGCGAAAAGAACCCCGGCGAGGGGAGUGAAAAAGAACCUGAAACCGUGUACGUACAAGCAGUGGGAGCCCCACCACCAAAGCAUUCUCUGGUGUUGAAGGCCCUGCAAAGCAGCAUCGCGGUGGCGGAGCGUCGUUUGCGACGCCCAACACACAAAACAAGCGGUGAGUGCUUUGGGGUGGGGUGACUGCGUACCUUUUGUAUAAUGGGUCAGCGACUUAUAUUCUGUAGCAAGGUUAACCGUAUAGGGGAGCCGUAGGGAAACCGAGUCUUAACCGGGCGUUAAGUUGCAGGGUAUAGACCCGAAACCCGGUGAUCUAGCCAUGGGCAGGUUGAAGGUUGGGUAACACUAACUGGAGGACCGAACCGACUAAUGUUGAAAAAUUAGCGGAUGACCUGUGGCUGGGGGUGAAAGGCCAAUCAAACCGGGAGAUAGCUGGUUCUCCCCGAAAGCUAUUUAGGUAGCGCCUCGUGAAUUCAUCUCCGGGGGUAGAGCACUGUUUCGGCUAGGGGGCCAUCCCGGCUUACCAACCCGAUGCAAACUGCGAAUACCGGAGAAUGUUAUCACGGGAGACACACGGCGGGUGCUAACGUCCGUCGUGAAGAGGGAAACAACCCAGACCGCCAGCUAAGGUCCCAAAGUCAUGGUUAAGUGGGAAACGAUGUGGGAAGGCCCAGACAGCCAGGAUGUUGGCUUAGAAGCAGCCAUCAUUUAAAGAAAGCGUAAUAGCUCACUGGUCGAGUCGGCCUGCGCGGAAGAUGUAACGGGGCUAAACCAUGCACCGAAGCUGCGGCAGCGAACGUAUCACUUAAAGCGAUUCAGCGGGUUACGAUUGACGGAGCGAAGCGACGUCAAAGCGUAUACAAAGUCGAGUCGGUUUAAGGAUACGUUCGUUGGGUAGGGGAGCGUUCUGUAAGCCUGUGAAGGUGGCCUGUGAGGGUUGCUGGAGGUAUCAGAAGUGCGAAUGCUGACAUAAGUAACGAUAAAGCGGGUGAAAAGCCCGCUCGCCGGAAGACCAAGGGUUCCUGUCCAACGUUAAUCGGGGCAGGGUGAGUCGACCCCUAAGGCGAGGCCGAAAGGCGUAGUCGAUGGGAAACGGGUUAAUAUUCCCGU
This 1426-nucleotide ribosomal RNA is filed under the name Salmonella enterica subsp. enterica serovar Anatum. RNAcentral describes it as "partial 23S ribosomal RNA". It matches the Rfam family "Bacterial large subunit ribosomal RNA", at positions 161 to 1442 of the family's 2925-position model. The record is from RNAcentral. Lineage: Bacteria; Pseudomonadati; Pseudomonadota; Gammaproteobacteria; Enterobacterales; Enterobacteriaceae.